GAUGAACGCUGGCGGCGUGCCUAAUACAUGCAAGUCGAGCGAACAGACGAGGCGCUUGCUCCUCUGACGUUAGCGGCGGACGGGUGAGUAACACGUGGAUAACCUAUCUAUAUGACUGGGAUCACUUCGGCAAACCGGAGCACUUAAUGGAUAAUAUCUUCAACUGCAUGGUUCAAUAAUGAUAGACGGUUUUGCUGUCACUUAUCGAUGGAUCCGCGCCUCAUUAGCUAGUUGGUAAGGUAAAGGCUUACCAAGGCGCCGAUGCGUAACCGACGUGAGAGGGGGAUCGCCCACAUGGGAACGGGAACACGGUCCGGACUCCUACGGAAGGCAGCGGAAGGGAAUCUGGCGCAGUGGUGGAAAGCCUGACGAAACAAGGGCAAGUGAGUGAUGAAGGUCUUGGGAUCGUAAAACCCGGUUACUAGGGAAAAACAAAGUUGUAAUUGAAUGUGCACAUCUUGACGGUACCUGAUCAGAAAGCGACGGCUAACUACGUG
This 497-nucleotide ribosomal RNA is filed under the name uncultured bacterium. RNAcentral's name for it is "partial 16S ribosomal RNA". It matches the Rfam family "Bacterial small subunit ribosomal RNA", at positions 28 to 507 of the family's 1533-position model. The record is from RNAcentral.